This 118-nucleotide non-coding RNA is filed under the name Vibrio nigripulchritudo SFn118. RNAcentral describes it as "TPP". It matches the Rfam family "TPP riboswitch aptamer (THI element)". From Rfam's summary of the family: Vitamin B(1) in its active form thiamin pyrophosphate (TPP) is an essential coenzyme that is synthesised by coupling of pyrimidine and thiazole moieties in bacteria. Lineage: Bacteria; Pseudomonadati; Pseudomonadota; Gammaproteobacteria; Vibrionales; Vibrionaceae. The record is from RNAcentral.
CUUCACUUGUCGGAGUGCUCGAACACGUGCGUGUUAAAUAAAGAGCUGAGACCGCGUAGCGGGAUCCGUUGAACCUGAUCAGGCUAAUACCUGCGAAGGGAACAAGAGAAGAUACCAU